UGGGGAAUUUUGGACAAUGGGGGAAACCCUGAUCCAGCCAUCCCGCGUAUGCGAUGAAGGCCUUCGGGUUGUAAAGCACUUUUGGCAGGAAAGAAACGUCAUGGGUUAAUACCCCGUGAAACUGACGGUACCUGCAGAAUAAGCACUGGCUAACUACGUGCCAGCAGCCGCGGUAAUACGUAGGGUGCAAGCGUUAAUCGGAAUUACUGGGCGUAAAGCGUGCGCAGGCGGUUCGGAAAGAAAGAUGUGAAAUCCCAGAGCUCAACUUUGGAACUGCAUUUUUAACUACCGGGCUAGAGUGUGUCAGAGGGAGGUGGAAUUCCGCGUGUAGCAGUGAAAUGCGUAGAUAUGCGGAGGAACACCGAUGGCGAAGGCAGCCUCCUGGGAUAACACUGACGCUCAUGCACGAAAGCGUGGGGAGCAAACAGG
Molecule: ribosomal RNA, 429 nt
Filed under: Acidobacteriota bacterium
Lineage: Bacteria; Pseudomonadati; Acidobacteriota
Description: Acidobacteria bacterium partial 16S ribosomal RNA
Rfam family: Bacterial small subunit ribosomal RNA
Source: RNAcentral